UUUUGGAAAUGGCUCUCCUUGCUCCCCACACCAAAUCUUGGCUUGAGAGAACCUCUUCCCUUUGUGGCUGGAAGUCUCUAGAAACAAGUCAAUCCUAUUAGGAAGGAAGGGGGUGGGGUCAAGAAAGAAGCCAGGCAGAAGGACUAGGUCUCUGAAGCUAGAGUCAUUGCCUUAGUUAUACUCAGACAGACCUGGGUUCAAAUCCUACCUCAGGCAUUAUUAGCUGCAUGCUUAGGCAGGGCACUUAAACUUCUGAACAUUGCUCAUAGUGCUGUUGUGAUGGUUAAAUGGCCUAAGUCAUAAAGCCUCACAGUGCUAAUGCCUGCUACAUAGGAAGUGCUUGGUAAAUGUAGCCCCUGUGAUGAUUGGGACAGUGAUGUUGAUGGCAAGUAGGGUGAGGAUGAAGAUGAUGAUUUGAACCCUCUGCUUCUAUUUUCUUGCUCUCUCUGUUCUUCAUUAGGUUGCUGAAGAGAGGAGUGAAAAGCAUCCAUGGGUUUGUCUAGAUGGAGUGAAGAUACCAAAAUGGAGUAGGAGACAGAUCAGAAACCUCAAGAGGGGACGCUCAAGGCAUAUAGGAGUGAAUUAUGAGAAUGCCCAUUCUGAGUUGGAGGAGAAAAUUCAGGGUGGAGAUGCAGGAGAUAGGCGAGUAUAAAAGAAGGUGGGCAUUCAGAAAAGUGUUCUUUUCUACCCUUACUUAUAAUUCAGGUGCCCCCUUAACUGGGUCCUUUCUGCCCUAUAUCACAUGUUGGAUUACCAAGCCAAAGGGUUUGUCCCAUAUGUGGCAAACUGUUUAGGACCUCUAGAAACCAGGAGUCAUAGGCACACAAGAUGCUGAGACUGAGGGAAGCUAAGAGGAUUGCUUGGGGGCCUCCAGGCUGGCAAUGGAUGAACUGAGACAGGAAAUUAGGCUCCCAUACUACUAAAUGAUUUUCCUUCUUCUUGUCUAUCACUUGAGCCUUACUGUAUUACUCUGUUGAUUAAAUGAAAUUAUGUUUUUUCUUUACUCCUUUAGGUAAUCAAAGUCUGAAGAAGAGUCUGGCAAUUACUUCCCAAUAGGUUUUGUUUGUCUUUUUAGACUCAUUGGAGGAAAUGAGACAUCAGCAUAUGAAUUGUGUUGAAGUAUUUUAUCUGACAAUCCAAUUUGGGCAGUUUCAUGUAUAUGUGUGUGUGUGUGUGUAUAUAUAUAUAUAUCUAUAUAUAUAUAUCUAUAUAUAUAUAUCUAUAUAUAUAUAUCUAUAUAUAUAUAUAUAUAUAUCUAUAUAUAUAUAUAUAUCUAUAUAUAUAUAUAUCUA
RNAcentral lists this long non-coding RNA (1292 nucleotides) under Felis catus (domestic cat). RNAcentral's name for it is "lncRNA (ENSFCAG00000051714.1)". Lineage: Eukaryota; Metazoa; Chordata; Mammalia; Carnivora; Felidae. The record is from RNAcentral.